RNAcentral lists this ribosomal RNA (460 nucleotides) under uncultured bacterium. RNAcentral describes it as "partial 16S ribosomal RNA". It matches the Rfam family "Bacterial small subunit ribosomal RNA", at positions 338 to 795 of the family's 1533-position model. The record is from RNAcentral.
CCUACGAGUGGCAGCAGUGAGGAAUAUUGGUCAAUGGACGAGAGUCUGAACCAGCCAAGUAGCGUGAAGGAUGACUGCCCUAUGGGUUGUAAACUUCUUUUAUAUGGGAAUAAAAUGUUCCACGUGUGGGAUUUUGUAUGUACCAUAUGAAUAAGGAUCGGCUAACUCCGUGCCAGCAGCCGCGGUAAUACGGAGGAUCCGAGCGUUAUCCGGAUUGAUUGGGUGUAAAGGGAUCGUAGGUGGAUUGUUAAGUCAGUUGUGAAAGUUUGCGGCUCAACCGUAAAAUUGCAGUUGAAACUGGCAGUCUUGAGUACAGUAGAGGUGGGCGGAAGUCGUGGUGUAGCGGUGAAAUGCUUAGAUAUCACGAAGAACUCCGAUUGCGAAGGCAGCUCACUGGACUGCAACUGACACUGAGGCUCGAAAGUGUGGGUAUCAAACAGGAUUAGAUACCCGAGUAGUC